UACGGAGGAUGCAAGCGUUAUCCGGAAUGAUUGGGCGUAAAGCGUCCGCAGGUGGCAAUGUAAGUCUGCUGUCAAAGCGUCUGGCUCAACCAGAUAAAGGCAGUGGAAACUACAUAGCUAGAGUAAGGUAGGGGUAGAGGGAAUUCCUGGUGUAGCGGUGAAAUGCGCAGAUAUCAGGAGGAACACCGGUGGCGAAGGCGGUGGUCUGGGCCGGAACUGACGCUGAGGAGCGAAAGCGUGGGGAGCGAACAGG
This 253-nucleotide ribosomal RNA is filed under the name uncultured bacterium. RNAcentral describes it as "partial 16S ribosomal RNA". It matches the Rfam family "Bacterial small subunit ribosomal RNA", at positions 524 to 776 of the family's 1533-position model. The record is from RNAcentral.